RNAcentral lists this long non-coding RNA (239 nucleotides) under Lathyrus oleraceus (garden pea). RNAcentral describes it as "Pisum sativum (pea) long non-coding RNA (PSAT_LNC037064)". Lineage: Eukaryota; Viridiplantae; Streptophyta; Magnoliopsida; Fabales; Fabaceae. The record is from RNAcentral.
AGAGAUUGACAGUGACCGCGAGCUUGAGUCGUGGAUAAAAUCGUGCGUACCAGGGAACUGGAAGGCCUCAAAGAUCAUCACCGUCACUCAUCAUGAAGAGUAGUAUUUCUGUUUUUCAAUUCUGUUUGCAUGAAAGCCAUACGUUUUGCCCGAAACGUAAUGGUCCAUUGUAAGGGCCACCUCAUGUGUUUCAUUUUGCAAUAUUUUGCAUCAUUAAUAAAUGGAUGUUUUUGUGAUUA